AUUGAGACUUCGCGUGGAUUUGAUCUAUUUCUAGUGGCGGACGGGUGAGUAACGCGUGGGUAACCUGC
Molecule: ribosomal RNA, 68 nt
Filed under: uncultured bacterium
Lineage: Bacteria
Description: partial 16S ribosomal RNA
Source: RNAcentral